RNAcentral lists this ribosomal RNA (770 nucleotides) under Acrobeloides sp. 25 GVDU-2019. RNAcentral's name for it is "SSU rRNA". It matches the Rfam family "Eukaryotic small subunit ribosomal RNA", at positions 134 to 912 of the family's 1831-position model. The record is from RNAcentral. Lineage: Eukaryota; Metazoa; Nematoda; Chromadorea; Rhabditida; Cephalobidae.
CCUACUUGGAUAACUGUGGUAAUUCUAGAGCUAAUACAUGCAUUAAAGCUCUGACCUCACGGGAAGAGUGCAUUUAUUAGAACAAAACCAAGCGGCUUCGGCUGUUUCUGGUUGACUCAUAGUAACUGAGCUGAUCGCAUGGUCUUGCACCGGCGACGUGUCUUUCAAGUAUCUGCCGUAUCAACUUUCGAUGGUAGUGUAUCUGACUACCAUGGUGAUCACGCGUAACGGAGAAUAAGGGUUCGGCUCCGGAGAGUUCGCCUGAGAAAUCGCGAACACAUCUAAGGAAGGCAGCAGGCGCGAAAAUUACCCACUCUCAGCACGAGGAGGUAGUGACGAAAAAUAACGAGACCGUUCUCUUAUGAGGCCGGUCAUCGGAAUGGGUACAAUUUAAACCCUUUAACGAGUAUCUAUGAGAGGGCAAGUCUGGUGCCAGCAGCCGCGGUAAUUCCAGCUCUCAAAGUGCAUAGAAUUAUUGCUGCGGUUAAAAAGCUCGUAGUUGGAUCUGUGCCAUAGGACGUGGUCCACCUUCGGGUGCGUACUACGCUCCUAGGCUUUUUGCUGGUUUUCCCGUCGUAGCCUUCACUGGUUGCGGCGGGUGGCUGGCGAGUUUACUUUGAGAAAAUCAGAGUGCUCAAUACAGGCGUAUCGCUUGAAUGAUUGUGCAUGGAAUAAUAGAAAAGGAUUUCGGUCCUCUUUUAUUGGUUUUGUGGACUGAGAUAAUGGUUAACAGGGACAAACGGGGGCAUUCGUAUCUCUGCGUGAGAGGU